RNAcentral lists this ribosomal RNA (119 nucleotides) under Pteropus alecto (black flying fox). The record is from RNAcentral. Lineage: Eukaryota; Metazoa; Chordata; Mammalia; Chiroptera; Pteropodidae.
UACUAUGGCCAAGCCACCCUGAACAUACCCGAUCUCCGCUGAUCUCGGAAGCUAAGCAGGGUCAGGCCUGGAUAGUACUUGGAUGGGAGACCACUUAGGAAUACCAGGUGCUGUAGGCA